CCCUACUGCUAUCGGGGUGGGACUAAGACAUGCUAGUCGAGCGCCUUGAGCUAUGGCGAGGCGCGGCGUACAGCUCAGUAACACGUGGCUAACCUACCCUUAGGACGGAGACAACCCCGGGAAACUGGGGCUAAUAUCUGAUAGGUGAGGAGGCCUGGAAUGGUUCUUCGCUGAAAAGGCGUUGAAACCAUGCUUUUCAGCGUCGCCUAAGGAUGGGGCCGCGUCCGAUCAGGUUGUUGGUGGGGUAACGGCUCACCAAGCCUAUAACCGGUACGGGCCGUGAGAGCGGAAGCCCGGAGAUGGGCACUGAGAUAAGAGCCCAGGCCCUACGGGGCGCAGCAGUUGCGAAAACUCCGCAAUGCACGAAAGUGUGACGGGGCUACCCCGAGUGCCGUCCGCUGAGGAUGGCUUUUCUCCGCUGUAAGGAGGCGGAGGAAUAAGGAGAGGGCAAGACUGGUGUCAGCCGCCGCGGUAAUACCAGCUCUCCGAGUGGUAGGGGUGAUUAUUGGGCUUAAAGCGUCCGUAGCCGGCUUAGCAAGUCUUCUGUUAAAUUCAGCGACCUAAUCGUUGAGCCGCGGGAGAUACUACUAGGCUAGGAGGCGGGAGAGGCCGACGGUAUUCUCGGGGUAGGGGUGAAAUCCUAUAAUCCCGGGAGGACCACCAGUGGCGAAGGCUGUCGGCUAGAACGCGCUCGACGGUGAGGGACGAAAGCUGGGGGAGCGAACCGGAUUAGAUACCCGGGUAGUCCCAGCUGUAAACGAUGCGGGCUAGCUGUUGGGAUGGCCACGAGCCAUCCCAGUGGCGCAGGGAAACCGUUAAGCCCGCCGCCUGGGAAGUACGAUCGCAAGAUUGAAACUUAAAGGAAUUGGCGGGGGAGCACAACAAGGGGUGAAGCUUGCGGUUC
This 904-nucleotide ribosomal RNA is filed under the name uncultured archaeon. RNAcentral's name for it is "bacterial SSU rRNA". It matches the Rfam family "Archaeal small subunit ribosomal RNA", at positions 21 to 903 of the family's 1478-position model. The record is from RNAcentral.